AACGAACGCUGGCGGCAUGCCUAACACAUGCAAGUCGAACGAGACCUUCGGGUCUAGUGGCGCACGGGUGCGUAACGCGUGGGAACCUGCCCUUAGGUUCGGAAUAACUCCCCGAAAGGGGUGCUAAUACCGGAUAAUGUCUUCGGACCAAAGAUUUAUCGCCUUUGGAUGGGCCCGCGUUGGAUUAGCUAGUUGGUAGGGUAAAAGCCUACCAAGGCGACGAUCCAUAGCUGGUCUGAGAGGAUGAUUAGCCACACUGGGACUGAGACACGGCCCAGACUCCUACGGGAGGCAGCAGUGGGGAAUAUUGGACAGUGGGCGAAAGCCUGAUCCAGCUAUGCCGCGUGAGUGAUGAAGGCCUUAGGGUUGUAAAGCUCUUUUACCCGGGAUGAUAAUGACAGUACCGGGAGAAUAAGCUCCGGCUAACUCCGUG
RNAcentral lists this ribosomal RNA (433 nucleotides) under uncultured bacterium. RNAcentral's name for it is "partial 16S ribosomal RNA". It matches the Rfam family "Bacterial small subunit ribosomal RNA", at positions 29 to 507 of the family's 1533-position model. The record is from RNAcentral.